Molecule: non-coding RNA, 109 nt
Organism: Acanthosepion pharaonis
Lineage: Eukaryota; Metazoa; Mollusca; Cephalopoda; Sepiida; Sepiidae
Source: the annotation of a GenBank genome assembly
GCUGUAUCACGUUGAAACACUGGUUCUUGUAUUAUCACUGAAGUUAAGCAAUGUUGAGCCUGAUCAGUACCUUGAUGGGUGACUGCUUGGGAAUCAGAGGUGCUGUAAG